This 476-nucleotide ribosomal RNA is filed under the name uncultured bacterium. RNAcentral describes it as "bacterial SSU rRNA". It matches the Rfam family "Bacterial small subunit ribosomal RNA", at positions 28 to 507 of the family's 1533-position model. The record is from RNAcentral.
GAUGAACGCUAGCUACAGGCUUAACACAUGCAAGUCGAACGAGAAUCUACUGAAAGAGUUUUCGGACAAUGGAAGUAGAGGAAAGUGGCGGACGGGUGAGUAACGCGUGAGGAACCUGCCUUGAAGAGGGGGACAACAGUUGGAAACGACUGCUAAUACCGCAUGAUGCAUAGGGGUCGCAUGAUUCUUAUGCCAAAGAUUUAUCGCUUCAAGAUGGCCUCGCGUCCGAUUAGCUAGUUGGCGGGGUAACGGCCCACCAAGGCGACGAUCAGUAGCCGGACUGAGAGGUUGAACGGCCACAUUGGGACUGAGAUACGGCCCAGACUCCUACGGAGGCAGCAGUGGGGAAUAUUGGGCAAUGGGCGCAAGCCUGACCCAGCAACGCCGCGUGAAGGAAGAAGGCUUUCGGAUUGUAAACUCCUGUUGUUGAGGAAGAUAAUGACGGUACUCAACAGGAAGUGACGGCUAACUACGUG